UGGGGAAUAUUGCACAAUGGGCGAAAGCCUGAUGCAGCGACGCCGCGUGAGGGAUGACGGCCUUCGGGUUGUAAACCUCUUUCAGUAGGGACGAAGCGCAAGUGACGGUACCUGCAGAAGAAGCACCGGCUAACUACGUGCCAGCAGCCGCGGUAAUACGUAGGGUGCGAGCGUUGUCCGGAAUUACUGGGCGUAAAGAGCUCGUAGGCGGUUUGUCACGUCGUCUAUGAAAUCCUAGGGCUUAACCCUGGACGUGCAGGCGAUACGGGCUGACUUGAGUACUACAGGGGAGACUGGAAUUUCUGGUGUAGCGGUGGAAUGCACAGAUAUCAGGAAGAACACCGAUGGCGAAGGCAGGUCUCUGGGUAGUAACUGACGCUGAGGAGCGAAAGCAUGGGUAGCGAACAGG
Molecule: ribosomal RNA, 409 nt
Filed under: bacterium
Lineage: Bacteria
Description: partial 16S ribosomal RNA
Rfam family: Bacterial small subunit ribosomal RNA
Source: RNAcentral